AUGAAAUGUAAUUUUAAAAGUAUUUCAGGCGAGAAUGUAGUUGUUUAAAACUCAAAUCUGUUGUUUAUUUAUAAAGACAGCGCCUAUUUAAAAAUGUGUUUCGCCGAUCUCUGAGACGGUGAGCUCCACUCGAUCAGCGGGAGCUCAGUCCUCAUGUAUCCGCAGAGAGCAGCCUCUCCUGGGAUAGACCUUCUGAUAUGUGCCGCUGGCUCUGAUGUGUCUUUAGUGGUUAAACAUAACAUAUAAUUCAGCUGCGGGGUAAAUCUAACAGGUUUUCUUUGGUCUGUAUUCAAUUUAUCUAUAUGUUAAAAUGAAAAUAAAAAAGGCGAAUUUAUAUAAUA
Long non-coding RNA from Carassius gibelio (silver crucian carp), 341 nucleotides. RefSeq lists it as uncharacterized. NCBI's taxonomy places the organism in Eukaryota, Metazoa, Chordata, Actinopteri, Cypriniformes, Cyprinidae. The transcript is spliced from 3 exons. The record is from RefSeq and is a predicted model, not a curated record.